Long non-coding RNA from Triticum urartu, 2745 nucleotides. RefSeq lists it as uncharacterized. The record is from RefSeq and is a predicted model, not a curated record. Lineage: Eukaryota; Viridiplantae; Streptophyta; Magnoliopsida; Poales; Poaceae.
AUUAGUAUGUAUGAAAAAAUGGAAAAAAUAAUAAUUUAAUACUAGUGGCGCACCCUGUUUCUGGUGCGCCAUUAGUGUUUUCCACACUAAUGACGCAUCACCAACCGGUGCGCCAUUAGUAUAUAAUAGUGACGCACUGCUUCCAUGGUGCGCCAUUAGUAUCAAUCCUAUCUAUAGCCCUUUUCCUAGUAGUGUGCUCGUCGGCCAUGCGGGGAGGACGAACGAGCUCCUCGUCGGACAUGCAGGGAGCACAGACGAGCUGCUCAUCGGCGUCCGUCCCACACGCCCCGUCACUCUGCUAGCCGCCGCGCCCCCGUCCAUCCUCUCCUCGGUGCCUGUCCUCGCUCCGCCAUCGCCGAAUCUGGACGAGAUCGGGAUAAUCCGCCGCAUCUCGCGCAGCUGCUCGUCGGCCAUGCGGGGAGGACGAACGAGCUGCUCGUCGGACAUGCAGGGAGCACAGACGAGCUGCUCAUCGGCGUCCGUCCCACAGCGCCGCUGAAGACGGUGCCCAGCCCCCUUGACAGCGCACUCCUCCUACUUGCCGCCCGGGUGCAAAUAGCGACAGCGAGUAGGCGACAACUAUACUACGUCGAGAAGCGAUACAGGGGCAUGAAGCAAGCGAGCAGGUGCGCAACGACCUGCUACUGCACUAAUAGUAGCCUUGACGGAGCACCGGGGCCGGCUCGACAGGGCAUGCCGCCCGCUGGUAGACGCCUGGUUGUGUGAGACGGAGAUGAACCUCGCGUCGUCGCCUCUGCAGCCUGGACAAAGCUCCGCCGGUGCUGGGGAUGAACCCUGCGUCUGUGAUGGUGAUGGCGCUGUCCAUCUACUUUCUCCACUGGCUAUAAGGGAGUAAAGAUCACAUCGUGGAUGUGUUUUUCUUCAAAGAUGUGGCCCUGUCAUUGUUGGCUGUCGAAUUUGCGAUGUAAUCCGUCCCUAUGUAAGUGUAUUAACCACUUCGCCCUCCCGCACAAUGAGCAGAACAGAGCAGCGGCUGCAAUUUACCCAUUGAUUUCUUGGGGUGAUUCAAACCUAGGAAGCCUGCUACUUGUGCAAGCAACAGGGUAACAAGUUUCAGUUUUCUUACUGAUGCACCUCAAUUUUGCAAGGUAAGAACAAUGUCAGUUUACUUUAUGUUGCUUUUCUAAUUUCUACAUAUUCCCUCAAGCAAAUCUAAUUAUCUAGGUAGUACGGAAAGCAGGCAAAUUAUGUAACUAUUUGGGUGUACUCAUGCUCUGCUAUGUCAGAUUGAGGAGAAAGAAUUAUUUUAUUCACCAUCCUAUUUUUUAUCUAUAAUGAUGAUCACUGUUUCCAUCUUGUCAUCUUCUUUGCUCCAGUUGUGCGAAUACUUUGUUUACACUUUAGUGGUACUGAAAUUUUCCUGCUACCAUGAGUCAUGGUAGUAGGCUGCUGCGGCAAAAAGCUGGUAAGCCCCCUAAGGGAAGAAAACUGAAAAAACUCUCAUCGUGCUUACCAUGUUUCAUCUUAAAAUUUUGGCUUGAAUUUUUUUUCUAUAUGACCUAUAUCUAUGUGGUUACUUUCUCCAGACAUACUUUAGUUGCAUCAUUGGUCAAGUGGCUUGAACACAACUCACAUGAGUCAUCGCCAAAUGGCCCUUUUCUGAAAUUCAUUCUCUUAUGCACUGAGAGAGGAGUUACUCCAUGACAGUCUAUAUACAUACAGAUGCAAGCAAUUAAGAAACUCAUGCAGAUGAUGACUGGAGAAUUUUUCACGAAUUUUCCAACCUAAAUUUGCUACAGAGGUUGGGAAAAGAGGAGUCCAGGCUCUGAUGAACACAUGUUCUUUCGCAGGUGACUAACAGUUGGCACCUCUAUCUUUACAUUACAUCAGGCCAGCGCUACAAAGCCCAUAAACCAAUUCAACUAGACCAGGACUAUGUUUAUUAGUCCUCCAGUGUUUGUUGGAAUGAGAUGACACAUGGUAUGCCAGCUAACAAGCAACUAAAGUAAGAAGAUUUUUAUAAUUUCUUGGAAAGAAAGAGUCCUGAACCCAAGAUGGCGAAGGAUCCAAUAUGUCAGGACCAAUGAAGGAAUUGCAGAGCUUCAUAUUCAGUUUAUUUUAGGUGCUUGCCUACUUCAAGUGUCUAGAUUACAGGAAACAUGUUUCUUCAAGUGUCUACUUCAAGCUUGCCCUUACCAUUUACCAGGUGGUGACUUACCGGAGGAGCCAGUGGUGCUGCUGCGACCUUCUCCGGGCGAUGGUCAAUGAUGCAAGCUAAAAUCGGGGAUGGGAUAGCGGCUCCGGGCGACAAUCAGAGGCGAGGCAGCGCUGCAGUUCGAGGACAAAGUGACGCACUGGGGCGACGGCGCGGGGCGAGGAAGAAGCGGCGGAUGGGGCUGUGCAUGGGGGAGUUGGGGCGACCAUUCAGUUCAGCGCACGGGAUCGUAUUAACUCUGUUUUCUCCUAGGUACCUGCGCUGGUAUAGUUUCUCCAUGGGGUUACCAAACGAUUCUCUCUACUCCUUGAUUAAGAUGUCACAUCAAUUUUCUACUUACACGUCAGGCUUAGCACUGGGAGCAGCCUUAUAGAAGUAAUGCAAUAUAUUCUCUCUUAUGCCUACUUGAAAUACUGUUGUGGGUCUGUACUUUGCCUCUCAUAUUGCAAGGAUGACACAUUGUAUGUCUAUUCUCUUAACUUUAGUAAGGAUGAAGCAGGAAAGUGUGCUGGACCUUCUAACAUGGAUAUUGUACAUGUACGAGCUACGGGCCACUAUUGUUUAUCACA